GCGAGAGCCUGAACCAGCCAAGUAGCGUGCAGGAAGACGGCCCUAUGGGGUUGUAAACUGCUUUUAUAGGGGGAAUAAAGUGAUCUACGUGUAGUUUAUUGUAUGUACCCUAUGAAUAAGGACCGGCUAAUUCCGUGCCAGCAGCCGCGGUAAUACGGAAGGUUCGGGCGUUAUCCGGAUUUAUUGGGUUUAAAGGGAGCGUAGGCCGUAGAUUAAGCGUGUUGUGAAAUGUAGAUGCUCAACAUCUGACUUGCAGCGCGAACUGGUUUACUUGAGUGUGCACAACGUAGGCGGAAUUCGUCGUGUAGCGGUGAAAUGCUUAGAUAUGACGAAGAACUCCGAUUGCGAAGGCAGCUUACGGGAGCACAACUGACGCUGAAGCUCGAAGGUGCGGAUAUCAAACAGGAUUAGAUACCCUGGUAGUCCGCACAGUAAACGAUGGAUGCCCGUUGUUAGUUCACUUAAGAAUUAGCGACCAAGCGAAAGCAUUAAGCAUCCCACCUGGGGAGUACGCCGGCAACGGUGAAACUCAAAGGAAUUGACGGGGGCCCGCACAAG
This 558-nucleotide ribosomal RNA is filed under the name uncultured bacterium. RNAcentral's name for it is "bacterial SSU rRNA". It matches the Rfam family "Bacterial small subunit ribosomal RNA", at positions 375 to 929 of the family's 1533-position model. The record is from RNAcentral.